UACGUAGGGUGCGAGCGUUAAUCGGAAUUACUGGGCGUAAAGCGUGCGCAGGCGGUUCGUUAUGUCCGAUGUGAAAGCCCCGAGCUCAACUUGGGAAUGGCAUUGGAAACUGGCGGGCUGGAGUGUGGCAGAGGGGGGUGGAAUUCCACGUGUAGCAGUGAAAUGCGUAGAGAUGUGGAGGAACACCAGUGGCGAAGGCGACUCUCCGGACUGUAACUGACGCUGAGGCGCGAAAGCGUGGGGAGCAAACAGG
RNAcentral lists this ribosomal RNA (253 nucleotides) under uncultured bacterium. Its description in RNAcentral is "partial 16S ribosomal RNA". It matches the Rfam family "Bacterial small subunit ribosomal RNA", at positions 524 to 776 of the family's 1533-position model. The record is from RNAcentral.